This 526-nucleotide long non-coding RNA is filed under the name Rhagoletis pomonella (apple maggot). Its description in RNAcentral is "uncharacterized LOC118735345, transcript variant X2". The record is from RNAcentral. Lineage: Eukaryota; Metazoa; Arthropoda; Insecta; Diptera; Tephritidae.
CGAAGUAAGGUUUUCACAAAUUUUAAUAUGGGUUUUUAAAAAUUUGAUUUCUUAUUAAGGGCUUUGAAUCAGUUGGUUUUCUUGGACGCAGCGGCAGUCACGUUGCAGCAAAAAGUAUUGAAUCGUAUGAAUUGUUUGGAAGCGGUUGCGGUGGUGUUGGAGCAAAAAGUGUUAAAUCCUCUAGAGUGCUUGCAAGCGGUGGCAGUGGUGGCAGUGGUGAUGGGCCAAACGUAGAGUAUUGAAUCCUGUGAAUUGUUUGGAAGCGGUUGCAGUGGAGAUGGAUCAAAUAGUAUUGAAUCCUAUGAAUUGUUUGGAAGGGGUUGCGGUGGUGAUAGAGUAAAAAGUGUUAAAUCCCCUAGAUUUCUUGGAAGCGGUGGCAGUUGAGUUGGAGCAAAAAGUGUUAAAUCCUCUAGAUGUCUUGGAAGCGGGGGCAGUGGUGUUGGAGCAAAAUGUUUGACAGUGGUGAUGGACCAAAAGUAAGUGGAUUUUCUUUAUACAUAUACUAGCUUAUACCCGCGGCUUUCAC